Molecule: transfer RNA, 71 nt
Filed under: Cordylochernes scorpioides
Lineage: Eukaryota; Metazoa; Arthropoda; Arachnida; Pseudoscorpiones; Chernetidae
Description: tRNA-Asp
Source: RNAcentral
UGGAGAUGCUGGGUAUUGAUAUCAGUACCUCGCAUGAUAAGCGAGCGCUCUACCAUCUGAGAUACAUCCCC